Molecule: long non-coding RNA, 1461 nt
Organism: Neopsephotus bourkii (Bourke's parrot)
Lineage: Eukaryota; Metazoa; Chordata; Aves; Psittaciformes; Psittacidae
Exons: 2
Source: RefSeq, a predicted model, not a curated record
AAAUUGCAUAUCUAACAUAUGUGCUUGUGUGCCUUCAUACAAGACGCUGUUGUCUGUUUGAUGAAGGUCGCUCCAGCUGAUGCCUUGCAAACAGAAGCUGCAUGUCAGUGGAGACCUAUUGAUCUUGCUGGGGUUCUCCUGAGGUUAAAGCCUUUCUCCUCACCUGACCAUUCUCACUGUUUCAGCUUCCACCCUGCUGAAGGCUGGCCAUGCCUUUGUCUCUGGACUGCUCUGUUGGGCUUAUCAGGUUUCCACAGCCUUUUCUGUCCUUUAUUUCCUUCUACUUAGCGAUGUCCCGUAAUAUCUGCAUCUUGUAUCUGGGAAGUAUUUAUGAGCAGGAGAUUCUUCUAGCCCAGAAACCAGCUCAGUCUGCAUUUAAACAAGGAUAGGGAUAGAGGAAAAAAACCCUUUCUCUGAGGUCUCUCAGGAAGGAAAGAUGGCUUUCAGCAGGAGCCAGGAGUGGUUCAGCUGCUCCACUGACCUCCUCCACUCACUGGCAUAGAUAUAGGGGAUUGCAGCACAGAGAGAGUAGUGCCUUCAGUGAUGGCACUUUGCUGGAUAGGAGUGAGAAAGACCAAGAGACACUGAUGCUGAUUGAAUCUUGAGGAAAAGAAGGGAAGAUACUAUUCACUGUGUUCCUCAGCUGGCCCUGAGUUCCAGCUUUCUGUUUCAUCACUCAGUUCCUUCUAACAAUAAUUUUGUCUGAGAAAUACCUGGUAAGAUGUUAGAGGGUGGAGAAAUGUAAGGUUUAUUGUUAUCUUGGGGUUAUAAAAGUGUUUUAAAAUAUUUCUGAAGCCCAAAAAAGAAAAUCUGGUAGAAGUUAGAAAUAAUAUGGCCAUGUAGAGAAGAUGAUUGGGAAAUAUGGGAGGGCAUGAGGGAGGAUUAAUGGAAAAAGGGGACAUGUACUGCAUGUACUUUCAUGUUAGACUUUGUCCUUAUAAACCAUAGUAGGAAGAGCUAGAGCAGAUGCAGACCUUUUGGAAUAUCACGGGUGUUAUUUGAAUUGGCAUUAGCCAGACAAACACAAUCUUCAGUAACCAUGAAUGUUUCUAAAAUGUCAGAUAGGUUUAGCUCGCAGCUCUGUUGCACAUGCCUUUGGGUUUAAAAUUAAAAACCUUUUACAUACAAGAAUGUGCAUUACACUGAGUUGUACUGAAAGUGUAGGAAAACAUUCUUCAACUAAAGAAGUAGGAAGAGCUAAGUUUUAAUACUAAAGUAUUUGCUGCACUCGAGGAUUACACUUGAGGAUUAUAGUGUUAAGCUGAUUUAGGACAUUAGAUCUGAAGGACUGGGACAUAAACCACAAGUGUAAUGAAAGAUUUUGCCAGAACUCAUUCUUACCCUGUUUGUCUUGGUCUUGGGUUUUUGCUUGAACAGGUUAGCUGCCUAAGUUUGCACUAAAAUUUGGCUUUUGUUGCACUUUUAGGGAAAUGACUUGGAAAUAAACACCCUAUAUAAUCA